RNAcentral lists this small nucleolar RNA (205 nucleotides) under Drosophila ananassae. RNAcentral's name for it is "snoRNA:GF26042". Lineage: Eukaryota; Metazoa; Arthropoda; Insecta; Diptera; Drosophilidae. The record is from RNAcentral.
UUCACAAGUCAGUCAGCAGUUUGGUUUUGGGUUUUUUAAGCCACGUCGACCAAAAGGCGUUACACUUGUGAUAGAGCAUUAAAUGCGGCUGUGCCACACCCCCCGCCCACCUGUGGUCACUGUUCUAGUGUUCGCGCCGGGCAAUCGGGGGCGUGGCACUUGGCCGGGCGCCCCUCCCUAGAGAGUUGAGCCAAUUGAGUGGGGG